This 76-nucleotide transfer RNA is filed under the name Chloroflexota bacterium. RNAcentral's name for it is "tRNA-Arg". It matches the Rfam family "tRNA". From Rfam's summary of the family: Transfer RNA (tRNA) molecules are approximately 80 nucleotides in length. Their secondary structure includes four short double-helical elements and three loops (D, anti-codon, and T loops). Lineage: Bacteria; Bacillati; Chloroflexota. The record is from RNAcentral. RNAcentral also lists the same sequence under 3 other names.
GUCCCCGUAGCUCAGCGGACAGAGCAACCGCCUUCUAAGCGGUAGGUCGAAGGUUCGAACCCUUCCGGGGACGCCA